ACCGUCUGAACUUAAGCAUAUCACUAAGACGAGGAAAAGAAACUAACCAGGAUUGCCCUAGUAACGGCGAGUGAAGCGGCAAAAGCCCAGGCUGGAAAUCGCUGCGGCGAGUUGUACAGUGAAGACACGCUGCUCACGCAGAGUGGAGGAGUAAGUGUUCUGGAAAGAAACGCCGCAGAGGGUGAAAGCCCCGUGCCUCCUCCGCAGACGCGACAGCAGGUGUUCCUAGAGUCGGGUAGUUUGGGACUGCUGCCCUAAGUGGGAGGUAGACUUCUUCUAAGGCUAAAUACUCACAAGAGACCGAUAGCGAACAAGUACUGUGAAGGAAAGAUGAAAAGAACUUUGGAAAAAGGGUUAAAAUACUUGAAAUCGUUGAGGAGGAAGCUGUGAGGCUGGUCUCGGCAGCAGUGCAACUAAGUGCACGCACUUGGGGGAGCUGCUGCCUCAACUCGGUCUUUGCUGAAGUUCUGAGCUGCCCUGCUGUUAGUUGGGCAGGCCCAGAGCUGAGGGUGCGGGCCGAGUGACUUGCCCCACUGACCCGUCUUGAAACACGGACCAAGGAGUCUAACAUGUGUGCGAGUAGUUGGGUGGAGACCCUUCUGCGUAAGGAAACUGAGCCUUUCAGGGCCGUGUUAACGAGCUCAGCAGGCAUGUUGGGACCCGAAAGAUGGUGAACUAUGCUUGGGAAAGGCGAAGCCAGGGGAAACCUUGGUGGAGGCUUGUAGGGAUACUGACGUGCAAAUCGUUCUUCUGACCUGAGUAUAGGGGCGAAAGACUAAUCGAACCAUCUAGUAGCUGGUUCCCUCCGAAAUUUCCCUCAGGAUAGCUGGAACAAAGCAGUUUUAUCGGGUAAAGCGAAUGAUUAGAGGUUCGGGAGUUGCAACAACUUUCACCUAUUCUCAAACUUUAAAUUGGUAAGAGUGCGGAGUUACUUAAGUGAACUCUGUAUUGAAUGUUUGUUCCAAGUGGGCCAUUUUUGGUAAGCAGAACUGGCGACGAGGGUCCAACCUACGGCAGGGUUGAGGUGACAAACUGGGUGCUCAUCGGAGGAAAAGGUGUUAGUUCAUUUAGACAGUAGGACGGUGGCCAUGGAAGUCGGAACCCGCUAAGGAGUGUGUAACAACUCACCUACCGAAUGAACUAGCCCUGAAAAUGGAUGUCGCUAAGCACCUGACCGACACCUUGCUGUGCAGCUCAACGCAGCUGGACAGGUAGGAGGGCGUGAGGGUAGUUUCGAAGGCCCCGAGUGGUCGGGGCUGGAGCUGCUCUUAGUGCAGAUCUUGGUGGUAGUAGCAACUAUUCAAAUGAGAACUUUGAAGACUGAAGUGGAGAAGGGUUUCGUGAGAACAGCAAUUGGUCACGAGUGACUCGGUCCUGAGGUUUCGAAAGGGAAUGGUGUUAAGAUUCACCAAGCAGGCUUAGGGUACUGAGUGGCAACACAACUGAACUCAAAGACGUCGGGGCGGAGCGCCAGGGAGAGUUCUCUUUUCUUCUUAACAAGUCACUGCCCUGGAGGUCUUUGCGACGAGAGAGGGCUACCGACUUGGAAAAGCAGCACACCCUUUGUGCUGUCUGGUCAGCUUCCUUCGGCCCUUGAAAAUUUGAGGGAAACAUUGCUUCUAGCCUGGCCGUACCCACAACCGCAUCAGGUUCCCAAGGUUA
RNAcentral lists this ribosomal RNA (1662 nucleotides) under Fabrea salina. RNAcentral describes it as "LSU rRNA". It matches the Rfam family "Eukaryotic large subunit ribosomal RNA", at positions 23 to 1875 of the family's 3401-position model. The record is from RNAcentral. Lineage: Eukaryota; Ciliophora; Heterotrichea; Heterotrichida; Fabreidae.